GCGGCGUACAGUUAACAGCGUCGCUCGCGGUGAUUCCCCACGGGGAUGUGCAUUGAGAAGCGAGUAUGCAAGCAGUUAGAAACCAUUCCAAAUGAGGCUGAUGUUUGCUUCAUUGAUUGUGCUAUGGAGUUGGAUUCUAAACAGAAAGUCUCCACUGACUGUGUUCCUCAAGCUGCAAAGACAAAUCAAGAUUCAAUGAUUUUUGAAAACCAUGGAAGCAGAGGUACUGCCCAGCCUUGCCCAAGAUGUAUUGCUGGAGAAUCUGGACACUUCAACCAUAUUCUGGGCUUCUAGAAAUUGAGAGAUGGCAAAUCAGCAACACUUUUUACAUUCUAAGGAUGCACAUGUGAACACUGUACUGCUGGAUAUCUGUACAUCCGUUCUACUAAUGGCGUGGACUUGUGUGUGUUAUUAAGCAUAUAGCAGUUUGCUGUAUGUGUUACUCUUUCAUUGCACUAUUCUGUAUAUCUUUGUUUUUACACUUGAAAAAUGCUUUUAAGGUAGCUCAGUGUGUGAAAAAAGUGACACUAAGCUUGGUUUAACUUUUUAGAAUAAUUUAGCUGAUUUGGCUUUUGGCCCAGUCUUUACCUGGGACUGGGCCAAAGGUAGUGUUGAUAAAAGACAUUUUCCUGUCUCUUAUGUGCUUUCCCUGAUAGCCUUGGGGAGCGAUCCUUGCAUUUACAUGGAUACAAGGCCUACAGUUGUAUCUGAGCUGUAUAUAAGUAGGCAGAAAUGGGAGGACUCUUUUCAGUUUCAGAGAUAGAGCUAUGCAGUUUUGCAUCUAUACAAAGGGUAGUAAAAGUCCUAUUGAAGCCUGCACUUUUUUUAAUCCAAAAUAAGCAUCCAAUUCAGGUAUCUUAUGUGUUAAACUUGUAAUUUUUUUGUAACAAACGCGGUGUGCAAAUGUGGCAGAUAAACAGUUAACAGAAGAAGUAAAAUUAUUUGAACAACACACUGUAAUGCAAAUGAAUGGUAGUUCAGCUCUGUGCGGUGUUCUCAAAGUUGUUAAAGAUACCAUCUGACAUUCCGUGAAUCUGUCUUUCCCAUUAUUGUGAUAUUAGAUCCAAUCUGUUCAUUUAAAAGGUCUUGAACUUGUUAGCCAGCAUGGUUUAGCUGGCUUGCCACAAACCAUUUCAUCUAAAAUUUACUGGUAUUUAUGACUAUGUAAUUCUUAAACAUAUUCAGAUUUUUAGACUUUCUAAGAUAGCUGAGUUGUGGUGUUGGGGUUUGACACUUCAGUGGAUGCUCUGGGACAGGCAGCAGCGUUCCGAAGCUCAGAACCAACAGGCAGAAUGCCUCUGCGUUAGAGGCAGAUUGCUGUGACCUCCCAAACGUCGCAGAGAAGCCAUGCCCGCUCUCUGGGAAACUGCUGAGCUACAGCGUGCAGGUACAGUUCAACCCAAAACAGAUAUGGCUGCCACAACAGCAUUUGGCUUCUCCUGUUUGGAGAGCAGCUAGGAACCAGUCUAAAUUAAAAUGGUAGCUCCAAAGUCACAACAAGCUAGUGACAGGUCUUUAACGGUAGGGUUUACCAGGCUAUGGGAUGCUUAGACGAAGCUUUUUUUCCUGGUCCUAGAAUGCUUUCCGUAUUGGGUGUGGAGUUGUAGCUGGCACUGAGUUGACUGUUAUUAAGAAGAUACUCUUCCUAAAUAAACUAAUACCAUAUAAACA
This is a long non-coding RNA of Apteryx rowi (Okarito brown kiwi), 1671 nucleotides long. Ensembl annotates it as chromosome unknown C10orf143 homolog. The record is from Ensembl. NCBI's taxonomy places the organism in Eukaryota, Metazoa, Chordata, Aves, Apterygiformes, Apterygidae.